UCACAAUCAAGUUAUGACAGUGGCGUAUAUGUUCUACAGUUACUAUUGUCGUAUGAUGGCAUGACUCACUUCCAUUUCAAGCAAGAACAUGCCAAACGACUGUGCGAAUCACUCACUUACUACUUAUGCACUCAUGAGGAAAACCAACUUAUCAUGCCUGAAAUAAGACAAAUUGUUGAACAACACGGCAUUCAACUUGAUAACUACGCAGCAAGAGUAAAAAAGGUAUGCCCG
Long non-coding RNA from Setaria italica (foxtail millet), 234 nucleotides. RefSeq lists it as uncharacterized. The record is from RefSeq and is a predicted model, not a curated record. The transcript has 3 exons. Lineage: Eukaryota; Viridiplantae; Streptophyta; Magnoliopsida; Poales; Poaceae.